ACAUCGCCUCUUGAUCAAUUAUAAGAGGUCAAGCCUGCCCAGUGACAUUGUUCAACGGCCGCGGUAUCCUAACCGUGCGAAGGUAGCGUAAUCACUUGUCCUUUAAAUAAGGACUAGUAUGAACGGCUUCACGAAGGCUAUACUGUCUCCUUAAUCUAAUCAAUUAAACUAAUCUCCCCGUGAAGAAGCGGGAAUUCGUCUAUAAGACGAGAAGACCCUAUGGAGCUUUAAACAUCUAAGACACUUGAUUUUUCCUACUAAACUUCAUGCAACCUAUCAUUUUGUCUUAAGUUUUAGGUUGGGGUGACCACGGAGAAAAAUUAAACCUCCACGUAGAAAGAAAAUUCUUUUCUAAGCAAAAAGCCACAUCUUAACGCAUCAAUAAAUUGACUUAAAUUGACCCAAUUUCUUGCUCAACGAACCAAGUUACCCUAGGGAUAACAGCGCAAUCCGCUUUAAGAGCUCCUAUCGACAAGCGGGCUUACGACCUCGAUGUUGGAUCA
This 503-nucleotide ribosomal RNA is filed under the name Allobates femoralis (brilliant-thighed poison frog). RNAcentral's name for it is "partial 16S ribosomal RNA". It matches the Rfam family "Bacterial large subunit ribosomal RNA", at positions 1813 to 2539 of the family's 2925-position model. Lineage: Eukaryota; Metazoa; Chordata; Amphibia; Anura; Aromobatidae. The record is from RNAcentral.